GAGUUUGAUCGUGGCUCAGAUUGAACGCUGGCGGCAUGCCUUACACAUGCAAGUCGAACGGUAACAGGUCUUCGGAUGCUGACGAGUGGCGAACGGGUGAGUAAUACAUCGGAACGUGCCCGAUCGUGGGGGAUAACGAAGCGAAAGCUUUGCUAAUACCGCAUAAGAUCUACGGAUGAAAGCAGGGACCGCAAGGCCUUGCGCGAACGGAGCGGCCGAUGGUCAGAUUAGGUAGUUGGUGGGAUAAAAGCUUACCAAGCCGACGAUCUGUAGCUGGUCUGAGAGGACGACCAGCCACACUGGGACUGAGAC
Molecule: ribosomal RNA, 312 nt
Filed under: uncultured microorganism
Description: bacterial SSU rRNA
Rfam family: Bacterial small subunit ribosomal RNA
Source: RNAcentral